CCUACGGGAGGCAGCAGUGGGGAAUAUUGCACAAUGGGCGAAAGCCUGAUGCAGCAACGCCGCGUGAGCGAUGAAGGCCUUCGGGUCGUAAAGCUCUGUCCUCAAGGAAGAUAAUGACGGUAAUUGAGGAGGCAUCCCCGGCUAACUACGUGCCAGCAGCCGCGGUCAUACGUAGGGGGCUAGCGUUAUCCGGAAGUACUGGGCGAAACGGGUGCGUAGGUGGUUUCUUAAGUCAGAGGUGAAAGGCUACGGCUCAACCGUAGUAAGCCUUUGGAACUGGGAAACUUGAGUGCAGGAGAGGAGAGUGGAAUUCCUAGGGUAGCGGUGAAAUGCGUAGAUAUUAGGGAGGACACCAGUUGCGAAGGCGGCUCUCUGGACUUGAACUGACACUGAGGCACGAAAGCGUGGGGAGCAAACAGGAUUAGAUACCCCUGGUAGUC
RNAcentral lists this ribosomal RNA (440 nucleotides) under uncultured bacterium. RNAcentral describes it as "partial 16S ribosomal RNA". It matches the Rfam family "Bacterial small subunit ribosomal RNA", at positions 338 to 795 of the family's 1533-position model. The record is from RNAcentral.